RNAcentral lists this ribosomal RNA (440 nucleotides) under uncultured bacterium. RNAcentral's name for it is "bacterial SSU rRNA". It matches the Rfam family "Bacterial small subunit ribosomal RNA", at positions 338 to 768 of the family's 1533-position model. The record is from RNAcentral.
CCUACGGGAGGCUGCAGUCGAGAAUCUUUCGCAAUGGGGGAAACCCUGACGAAGCGACGCCGCGUGCAGGAUGAAGGCCUUCGGGUUGUAAACUGCUGUCACUUGGGACGAAAAAUGUUUUGGUGAAUAGCCAAGAUAUUCGACUGUACCGAGAGAGGAAGCCACGGCUAACUCUGUGCCAGCAGCCGCGGUAAGACAGAGGUGGCUAGCGUUGUUCGGAUUCAUUGGGUGUAAAGGGUGCGUAGGCGGUUUAGAAAGUCAGAUGUGAAAGCCCACAGCUUAACUGUGGAACUGCAUCUGAAACUUCUGAACUCGAGUGCGAGAGAGGUAAAGGGAAUUCCCGGUGUAAGGGUGAAAUCUGCAGAGAUCGGGAGGAACACCAGUAGCGAAGGCGCUUUACUGGCUCGUAACUGACGCUGAGUGCACGAAGGCAUGGGGAG